AAUAUCUCGUACCAAGAUCUGGAUUGAACACUCUUAAUUUAGACCGUAAAAUCCAAAAAAUAGCUGAACCUAAUAUUCUCUGAACAAUCAGAAAUGAAAAUAUCUCGUAUCAAAAUCUGCAUUGAACACCCCCUAAUUUAGACUGUAAAAUAUAAAAAAAUGGCUGAAUCUAAUAUUCUUUAAACUUAUCCGAAACGAGAAUAUCUCGUACCAAGAUCUGGAUUGAACACUCUUAAUUUAGACCGUAAAAUCCAAAAAAUAACUGAACCUAAUAUUCUCUGAACAAUCAGAAAUGAGAAUAUCUCGUAUC
This 310-nucleotide long non-coding RNA is filed under the name Brassica napus (rape). RNAcentral's name for it is "long non-coding RNA (BNAP_LNC000039)". Lineage: Eukaryota; Viridiplantae; Streptophyta; Magnoliopsida; Brassicales; Brassicaceae. The record is from RNAcentral.